Molecule: ribosomal RNA, 408 nt
Filed under: uncultured organism
Description: SSU rRNA
Rfam family: Bacterial small subunit ribosomal RNA
Source: RNAcentral
GUGCCAGCCGCCGCGGUAAUACGGAAGGUCCAGGCGUUAUCCGGAUUUAUUGGGUUUAAAGGGAGCGUAGGCUGGAGAUUAAGUGUGUUGUGAAAUGUAGGCGCUCAACGUCUGAAUUGCAGCGCAUACUGGUUUCCUUGAGUACGCACAACGUUGGCGGAAUUCGUCGUGUAGCGGUGAAAUGCUUAGAUAUGACGAAGAACUCCGAUUGCGAAGGCAGCUGACGGGAGCGCAACUGACGCUUAAGCUCGAAGGUGCGGGUAUCAAACAGGAUUAGAUACCCUGGUAGUCCGCACAGUAAACGAUGGAUGCCCGCUGUUGGUACCUGGUAUCAGCGGCUAAGCGAAAGCAUUAAGCAUCCCACCUGGGGAGUACGCCGGCAACGGUGAAACUCAAAGGAAUUGACGG